CUACGGGGGGCUGCAGUGGGGAAUAUUGCACAAUGGAGGAAACUCUGAUGCAGCAACGCCGCGUGGAGGAUGACACUUUUCGGAGCGUAAACUCCUUUUAUAUAGGAAGAUAAUGACGGUACUAUAUGAAUAAGCACCGGCUAACUCCGUGCCAGCAGCCGCGGUAAUACGGAGGGUGCAAGCGUUACUCGGAAUCACUGGGCGUAAAGAGCGUGUAGGCGGAUUAAUAAGUCAGAUGUGAAAGCCAAUGGCUCAACCAUUGAACUGCAUUUGAAACUGUUAAUCUAGAAUAUGGGAGAGGUAGAUGGAAUUUCUGGUGUAGGGGUAAAAUCCGUAGAGAUCAGAAGGAAUACCGAUUGCGAAGGCGAUCUACUGGAACAUUAUUGACGCUGAGACGCGAAAGCGUGGGGAGCAAACAGGAUUAGAUACCCGAGUAGUC
RNAcentral lists this ribosomal RNA (439 nucleotides) under uncultured bacterium. RNAcentral describes it as "partial 16S ribosomal RNA". It matches the Rfam family "Bacterial small subunit ribosomal RNA", at positions 339 to 795 of the family's 1533-position model. The record is from RNAcentral.